RNAcentral lists this long non-coding RNA (7875 nucleotides) under Capsicum annuum. RNAcentral describes it as "long non-coding RNA (CANN_LNC002943)". Lineage: Eukaryota; Viridiplantae; Streptophyta; Magnoliopsida; Solanales; Solanaceae. The record is from RNAcentral.
UCUUCUGUGAAAUGCUCUGAUUGCACCCCCAUGAGAUACCACAACUACUCGUUUUCCUGCAUCGGGAAUAAACAAAAUUCAUGUAAGUACUUUUAUGAUAUCAGUCUUAUCAAUUCCAAUAGUUAAAAAAUACCUCUGUGCUUCAUUGCAAUCCUCUGUAAACAAGAAGUGCAGCGUUCAUAAAGGUGAUCUAAACUUUCUCCACCACCCUGCAAAUAAGUGGUGAGAAACUGAAAACAUGCAAACCCUUUAUAAAACAGACAAGAUCAUACAGUCUCUGUUCCUUCCCCUCUUUUUCUUUUAUCUUGGAGUAGGUACUUGAUCCUAUGUCAUGGGAGUCCUGAUUGUAAUUUGGUUCAAUUUGUGGCAGUUGAUGCUCCCUUGAUUAUGAAUUUUAGGUCAAAUUUCCAAUUUGGAGCUCACACUUGUGGAAUGCAUAUGUGACGAAGCAGAUUGAAUAUCCAAGAAGAAAUAAAAGAAGCAGAUUGAAGAAAAUUUAUAUUCAAAAUGAACUACAAGUUUAUUCAAAUGAUGCAGGAUAAUGCUGAUCAUGGCAGUAAUAUUACAUCGAGUACUCUUGUACUUCUUUUUUCCUGGUUUUUUGGGCUUGUAUAGGAGAAAGGAGUACUCACUGGAAUUUCUUGAUCACUUCGGUCAGAGAGAAAAGUCUUAUAAGCCAUAGGUUGACUUUUGGCUGCUUCACGGAGUGAAGUACCUUGAAGAUCUCCUAGAUGUCUCUCUCGAAGUUCUGGAUCUUUAAUGACCUAUAUUAAAGCACAAACCAAAGACAUAAAAGCAAUUUAUUUAGGGGAUGUUUGGUAGAGUUCAUUAGCAAAAAUAAUACAUGAAUUAGCUUUGCGUACUCCUAGUACCCUGUUUGGUACGUUAUUUCAACCUAGCAUUGUCUAUACACUCUAUUUGGUAUUAAGAUGUGUAUAACUAUACAUGGAAAUCCAUGGUAUUAGUAAUGCAAUGGGUUAUAUGAUUAAAGACACAAUUGCCCCUCAAAACCUUUUUCACAUCCUUUCCACCAUAUUAGUGGAGGGUAUUUUUGUAAGAAUAUAUUUCUUUAAAAAAGAUUAUGCAAUGCAUGUUAUUUUGAACACACCAAACCAAACACACAUUAAAAAAAAAAAAUAUUUAGCAUAACUAAUACUAGCAUUACUAAUACACCAUAUUUUACAUUAUUCUUAUACUCUACCGGUCUUGAGCCGGGGGUCUAUCGGAAACAGCCUUGCUACCUCUCCGGAGGUAGUGGUAUGGACUGUGUACAUCUUACCCUCCCCAGACCCCACUGUGUGGGAAUACACUGAGUUGUUGUUGUUGUUGUCGUAUACUCUACCAAACGAUACUCAAAUAUACUGCCUAGUCAACUAUUCCAAGAAGGCGAUUUAUUUUUCGCAACACCGCUUGGCAGCCAUGCCACACUGCACAACUUCAGCCCCACACACACUGCACGGUCGAAGUAGAAUAGACUAAGUAUACGGUAACGUAAAGCACUCAACAAUAUACAGGAAACAAGUUCCCAACCUUUAUUACUCUCUCAGAAUCACAAAGGAACAAUGCCACACGAAUUUAUAAGGCAUUACAACCUCCACUCAGCAUCACAAUAUAAAGACUGCACAUGGGCGAUUAUAAAAAAAAUCUUAGCAUAACUAAUACACCAUAUUUUACACUAUUCUUAUACACUCUGCCAAACGAUACUCCAAUAUACUGCCUAGUCAGCUAUUCCAAGAAGGCGAUUUAUUUUUUGCAGCACCGCUUGGCAGUCAUGCCACACAGCACAACUUCAGCCACACACACACUGCACAGUCGAAGUAGAAUAGACUAAGUAUACAGUAAUGUAAAGUACUCAACAAUGUAUAGAAAACAAGUUCCCAGCCUUUAUUAUUCUCUCAGAAUCACAAAGGAACAACGCCACACGAAUUUACAAGGCAUUACAAACUCCACUUCCUUAGACAAAUUUUGGCAUCACAAUAUAAAGACUACACAUGGGCGGUUAUGCCGUUUGGGUUGACAAACGCCCCGACAAUUUUCUGCAACUUGAUGAAUGAUGUGUUAUUUGAUUACCUUUGACGACUUUGUGGUGGCAUAUUUGGAUGACAUUGUCAUUUAUAGUUGCUCUCUUGAUGAACACUUGGAACACUUACAGUUAGUAUUGUCUCGUUUGAGGGAGUACAAACUUUACGUGAAGAUGGAAAAAUGUGAAUAUGCUAAGAAGGAAGUGAAGUUCCUUGGGCAUUUGGUUAGUCAAAACCAAAUGAGAACGGAUCCAAAGAAGGUGCAAGCAAUUGUGGAAUGGUAGACGCCUAGUGGGGUCAAAUAAUUGAGAUCGUUCUUGGGUUUGGCUAAUUAGUAUCGCAAGUUCAAUGCAGGUUACUCAAAGAAAGCGGUUGCAUGAACAAAUUUGUUGAAGAAAGAUGCCAAAUGGGUGUGGUUUGAAAAAUGUGAUGCAGCAUUUCAGACAUUGAAGGAAGCCAUUGCUUUAGAACCAUCUUGAAGCUGCCAGAUUUUGAGUUGCCUUUUAAAGUACAUACUGACGCGUCGGACAAAGCUGUUGGGGGCAUGUUGGUACAAGAAGAUCAUCCCAUGGCCUUUGAAAGUCGGAAAUUGAGUGAUGCGGAGUAGCGGUAUUCGACCCAUGAAAAAAAAAUAGUGGCAGUAGUGCAUUGCUUGCAAACUUGGAGGGUGUAAUUGUUGGGUACUCAUUUCAUUGUGCGGAUUGACAAUGUUGCUAAUACUUUCUUUAAGACGCAAAAAAGGUUAAGUCCAAAGCAGGCUUGGUGGCAGGAAUUCUUGGCUGAAUAUGACUUCAUAUGGGAGCAUAAACUAGGAAAGCACAACCAAGUUGCUGAUGCACUCAGUCGAAAAGAGGCAUUUGAUGCAAUAUACUCUAUUUCUCGACUUAAAACUGGUUUUCUUGAUAGAAUCAAAUUUUGUGCUGCAAAUGAUCCACUCUAUGUCAAAUAGAUGAGUCAAGUGAAAGAUGGGACAAUUAGAUAGUGUUGGAUCGAGGAUGAUCUCCUUUUAUUUUAAGGGGGAGAAUCAUAGUACCUCAAGGCAGCGGAUUGCGUAAAGAUUUGAUGAAAGAAGCGCAUGAUACUCCUUGGGCUGGUCAUUCGGGUGUUGAACGGAUGCUAACUUUGCUGUCCCGUGUGUAUUCCUAGCCUAAGAUGGAAGAAGACAUUAAAGCCUACAUGAAGACUUGUCAAGUUUGUCAAAGAGACAAGACUGAAUGCAUGAAGAAGGCAGGUUUGUUGCACCAAUUCCUGAAAGUCCAUGGUUGUCUGUCUCAAUGGACUUCAUUUCUGGAUUUCCAAAGGUUGAUGGCAAUGUAUCUAUAAUGGUGGUGGUGGACAGGUUUUCAAAAUAUGCUAUCUUUGUUGCUGCACCAAUUACUUGCUUGUCUGAAGUUGCUGCAGGUUUAUUUUGUAAGAACGUCGUGAAAUACUUUGGUUUGCCAAGUGACAUUGUGAGUGAUUGAGAUACGCGGUUCACUGGUCGGUUCUCGCAGACAUUGUUUAGCAUGAUGGGGACUGGCUUGAAGUUUUCCACAGCAAAUCAUCCUCCUCAAACUGAUGGUCAAACUGAAAGAAUCAAUCAUUUGCUAGAAAAAUAAUUGAGGCAUUUUGUGACAACAAGCCAACGUAACUGGGCAGACUUGUUGGAUACGACACAGUUUUGCUAUAAUCUACGCAGGUCGUUAGCAACAGAGGAGCCCAUUUGAACUUGUCUUAAGCAUGCGGCCUAUGACACCACUUGAGGUAGUGACGCUGAAAAGUCAUGGCAUUUGUCUUGCUGCUUACAGGCAUGCAAAAGACAAGCAUGACAUGCUUGUUGAGGCAUAAGACAGCUUGAGAAAGGCCCAGAAAUGCAUGAAGAAGUAUGCUAACCAGCAUAGACGUGCAGUGGAGUUCAACGUGGGAGACAAGGUGCUUUUAAAGCUCACUCCACAAAUUUGGAAACAGAUUGUGAGCAAAAGAAGGCAUAGGGGAUUUAUUCCAAGAUAUGAUGGCCCAUUUAAAGUUGUUGAGAAGAUUGGGGAAGUCGCUUACAAGUUGAAUUUGCUGGGAAGGUUGAAGAUUCAUUCUACUUUUCAUGUCAGUUUUCUGAAAAGGUAUCAUGAAGAUGCUGAAGACCCGAGCAGAAACAAAUCUAAGAGGGCUCCUCCUUUGAAUCCGAAGCAGUACAAGACCAAGAUGGUGAAAAUACUUGAUCAUUGGACUGUGGGAAACAGCAAGAGGAAUACUAAGACAGAAUUUCUGAUACAAUGGAAAGGCAAGAGUGAAAAAGAUGUGGUUUGGGAGAAGGCUCAAAACUUAUGGCAAUUCGACAAGCAAAUUGAGGACUACCUCAAAACAACCUCGACGAGGGCAUCGAGUUCAUAUAGUGGGGGUGCAUUGUUAGACCCCCGUCUAAGACAUGAUGGUCGGCAAGCCAUAUCAAGGUGCACAUUGGCCUUGACAUGUGCUGAGACAAGCAAUGUGAUGCUGUGAUGGCUAUGAGAUAGCAGACAGCUUAUGAUGACCAAGAAGCUGGAGUGUCGGCAAGGAAGCCUUGGGCACAACAGGCGGCAACAGACGCAUGGCACCUAUGCGGGCAUGCGUGCAGGCAGUGACAUAGACUCGGCAAGGUGCUGGAUGGCACAGGCAAUGGCAUUGGCAUGACAUGGUCUAGGCAGUGGCGUGGCCAAGGUAAUGACAUGGUCAAGACAGUGGCAUGGCCUAGGCAGUGACACAGCUAAGGCAGCAGCAUGGCGCAGGCAGUGACAUAACACAAGCAAGGCAUGGUCCUGGCAAGGCAAUGCUGUGGCUGGAAGACAUGACAAGACAAGGACGAAAUAUUCUUAGUGUUGGAAGCUGAAAAUUGGCGAAGUGUGGAACAUGGCAAAAUUGGCUAUGGGGCAGUUGCAAAUUCGAAUUUGAAUGUUUGUAUAUGUGGGAUUUUCAGAUAUGUAAUUUAAAUACUUAGAUAAAGUCUGUUGAGUCAUGUGAUAGGCAUGCAGGCCAUGUCCAAUGACAUGUUGCCAAGUGUGGCAGUUGAAACUGCUUGUAACCGCCCAUGUACAGUCUUUAUAUUGUGAUGCUGGAAUUUGUCUAAGGCAGUAAGGGUUGUAAUGCCUUAGCAAAUUCGUGCGACAUUGUUCCUUUAUGAUUUUGAGAGGAUAAUAAAGGUUGGAACUUGUUUCCUGUACAUUAUUAAAUGCUUCACGUUACUGUAUACUUAGUCUAUUCUACUUAGACUGUGCAGUGUGUGUGAGGCUGAAGUUGUGCAGUGUGGCAUGACUGUCAAGCGGUGGUGCUGCAAAAAAUAAAUUGCCUUGUAAAACCCCAAAUUUUUCAAGCUCUAGACCUCUUAAAAGAUAGGCCACGAAGUUAGCUUUCCAAUGCUUCAAGCCUCGUCCUAAUAUGAUGUCGUGGCAAGAAGUUACGGAAGAUUUCCCUUAAUGGCCUGAUUCACUGUUAUGACUACGACUCAAGGUAACGAGUCGUAACCACUCGUGACGAGUCGUCAUGAAUGAGUCUUAGUCACUCUAGUGGAUCCCUCAGCUGUAGCCAAGUAACUACGACUCCUCAUUACGACCCGUAAUGAGUGGCUACGAGUCGUAUGGAAGGAUUCAUAGUCACAACAAUAUGUAAUCCAAAAAUACAACCCAGUGGUUACGAGUCCAGUAUGUGGCUCGUAUCUAGACAUUAUGAGUCGUUAUGAAGACUCGUAGCUUGACCAGUAAAGGAUCAAAGAAUCAAGCCUCAUGUUUUGGUAGUUUUACAAGUGGCUUAGACAUAUAUUAAGACCCCAAAUAGCUCUUAGCUUAUAGACAAGUCAAGACAUCCCUUAGCGAUUAAAUUCUUGUGAAGUAUAAAACUAUAGUCAGCUUUAAACGAGCAUAGCUUUUGGUAUACCAAGAAUAUUUAAGCUCAAGACCACCAACAGAUAGAUAAUUGAAUUAGCUUUCCAACGAUACCAAUUUUGCCUUAAUCCAAUAUCGAGGUGAAAGUUAUGGCCAAAAAACCGAAGCACUGUCAAAGCUGCCUAGACUACGACUCGUAAGGUCUCAUUACGGGUCGUUAGGAGGGAGUCGUAAUCUGGGCAGUAAAGGCUGAAAAUGGGUGUCUGACUACGACUCAAGUCACGACUCAUAGCCAAACCUUACGAGUCGUGACCUUAAGUCGUUGGGACUACUUCCAGGCAACUUCCAGACGAUACCAAAGGGGUUUUUUGGUCUUUUCCCACUCUUUUAACCCCAAAACUACGUCAUUUCACCCUCUAAACAAUGGUUAUCAAGCGUAAAUAUUACCCUAACCUAUCAUAACUCCGAAAUCAUUCAUCAUAGAGCAAAAAGAGGCGAUUCUUUUCUCCCCAAAGCCAACUAGGGUUCUUCGAGUUCAAUCCCAAGAAAUUUAUCCAAGGCUUCUACAAACAAGGCAUGUAGGGUUUGAGCAAGGAUAAUCUUUCAUCCUUGUGCCCAAAAGCUUGAAUUUAAAAUUGAAUUUAUGUGAUUUCAAUUAGGGUUCAUACCUAAAUUCCCAUAUUCUUGAAUUAUGAUAUUAUUAUGCGAUUAGAAGUUUAAUUUACACAAGAAAUUACUUCUAUUCAUGUUUCGACUUACAAGAUUGCUAUUAUAACAUGAUUUUUAUUAUCAUGACUUAGAAGUUGACAAAUUGGUGAAAGAUUCUGAUUUAAAUUUUGAGCAUGGUAUUUCGAUGGGAAUUCGUGAAAGAUUCUGAUUUAAAUUUAAAGCCUCUUUCUCAUUUAUGAGGUAGUGGUAUGGAUUGAGUACACUUACCCUCCAGAGCCCACUUGGUGGGAAUAUACUAGGUAUGUUGUUAUUGUUAUUGUAUUUUGAUAUAAAGCCUCUAUGAAAUAAUGCUAUGAAUUUCAAGAUUUAAACACAAGCUAUUGAGUUACAAGAAGUUUAAGCUUAUAAGUUCAAUUUGCAGUAUUGUAACUUGAUUAAAGUUUAAUUUUGAUCUUAUAAUCACAUUCAAGAUCUGAAAUCCACAACUUCACCCAUUGGGUAUGAUUUAAGCAACAGAAGCAUAGUUGGUUUCUAAUUUACAAACCCAUAUGCUAUUUUAAGGUGAAUUUCCUAAGUGUGAGCUUAUAUAUAUAUAUAUAUAUAUUUGAGAGUAGUAUUUAGCACCGAAAAGGGAAUAUGUGUGUGUGUAUAUAUAUAUAUUUGGGAGUAGUAUUUAGCACCGAGAAGGAAAUGUGGAUGAGUGUAUCCUAAUUUCCAGAAACUACGAGCCACCGUAGGUUUAAAGGUCUGUCAAGAGAGUGUCCCUUUCGUUUCCAAAUAUGGAUGAAGUUUAGUGAUCACUAUAAGUUAAGGUUCUAUUCUGAUGGCAACGGUAGGAUAGCUCUCCCCAACGUGGGUAAGACGUUGGAUUCCAUGAUAGCUCACAUGGUUUAUGUCGGUUAUAAGAAUCUCCCACAGGAAAGAAUAAAAGUAAAGAUUUUAGAAACAAAGUGUAAUGACUCACUAAGCUUAUUCAUUAUGCUUUAUUAGUCAUGUUUUUUUUGUUUUUUUUGAAACUGAAAAAAAAAAACUGUUUUAUUCAUAUCCAAGGUGAAUCCUUUUACGCUUAGAAUGCAUGAUUUGAAAGUAUAUUCAGUUUCUGUUUUACUUAUGCAUUCACCCCUAUAUUCUCAGUACAUUCCAAAGUACUGACCACAUCUAUGCAUUUGUGGCUACAUCCCUUCAUAAUGUAGGUAUCAGAUGUAGCCCACACACCAGGGUCAGACAGUUCACAACACACAGCCAGCAGGUGAGGAGUUCUCUUAUUUCAGGGACUCAAGUCAGUUGUAGUUCAUGUAUCUUAUUUUCAUUAUUCUUAUGUAUUGAUUAAAGAUAGUUGGGGGUCAUGUCCCGAC